CUAUUAGUAGUUGUUUAUUUGUUUGUUUGCAGAAAUAAUUGCUUGGGUACGAAGGUCAAACGAGAAUGAGCAAAUGUUAAAACCUCUUUGGGAAAGCAAUGUGGCAAAAUCUAGUAAAAGUUUUCAAUUACUAAACCCCAGCACUCUGCUCCUACCUAUAUGUCUUGUAGAAACUUUGGUAAGUGAACAAGGAUGUACGUAACAGCGCUGUGGGUAGAAGCAAAAAAUUAGAAACGUCCAUCAAUAACAGAAUAAAUACCUUAUGGGAUGUUAGGAUGUAGUAUUAUACGCCAAUAAAAGAAGACUGAACUCAGAAAUGUGAUGAGGCAAAAAGAGAAAGAUGUAGAAAAAUAAAUAGUAUGACAAUUCAUAUACAUUCAACUCUAAAACUUGUAAAACAAUGCUAUAUAUUGCUUAGUUAUGCAUACAUAUGUAGUUAAAGAAGUCAAGAAAUACAAGAGAAUGAAAAUCAAGUUGAGAAAAGCAGUCAUAUCUGAGGCUUCCUAAGAGAAGUGAUGCCCAAGACAUUAAAACAUGAAUGGGCGUUAGAUGAAGACAAAAGAGCAUUCCAUCGUAGAAGACAAUGUAGCAUGUGACGAGUGAAAUACAGGACUGCAAAUUA
This 622-nucleotide long non-coding RNA is filed under the name Homo sapiens (human). Its description in RNAcentral is "HSALNT0198981". The record is from RNAcentral. Lineage: Eukaryota; Metazoa; Chordata; Mammalia; Primates; Hominidae.